GGACAAGAGGUUUUGGCUUGAUAAACCCUUUCCUGCACCACCUCAAGGACACCAGGUAGGACGGUGAAGGACAGUGUUGAGAGAGCAAAUCAUUUGCCUGGGAGAAGCACUCGCUCCUGGCCCACAGAGAGGAGAAAGGGCUCCAAGAACCGAUGACAAGUUUCUCAGCAGGGCUUUGGUUUCUCUGCAUGUUAUUUUCUGGGUUUUUCUCUUUGAUGCUUAGGGACCGAGUUCUCACCAACUUCCACCCAGAAUGAACCGCUUCGUUAUCUCAAGGAACAGACUCCAAAGCUUGCGCCCGUAUGGAAAACGCAUUCAAGCUCUGUGCCGAGGAAUUCCUUCUUACUUUGCUUACCCUACUGCUGGAUCAAACUUCUUAAGGCAAGAUGUUGCCUGUUUGAAAGUUAAGAUUAAGGAACUGCCCGUCUAUUACUGUGAUUAAUUAUUCCGGAUGAAGUACCGAGGAAGAAAAUUCCCAGACCUGUGGAACCACAGACAAGGGUUUUUCUCCUCCACAAUCUUCUCUUGAUGACAUUUUCAGUCACUUCUCUGUCCUUUCUUCUGCUCUGUCUGGAGAUGAUUCUCUCUCAGUAAAAUUUACCAUCAACCUCUGUUGGUCUGCGCCCUGGUUUUACUGAUCCUUUAAAAAAGUGGAAGCCGUUCCAGAGACAAGAUGCUAAAGUGGUGUUCUUGCAAAGUCCCAGGUUUGGCACUCAAACCCCAGCCUGUACAAUCUCCCAGUCACGUUUCACAUGCUGCCUUAAGCAGUUAUUCAUCACCACUUAAACAAAUGGUGCUAUCCCUACUGCAUAAUCAUAUUUAAGAGAAUAUGGUCUGAAGUCCAAAUUUAUAGAAGGAUGCAUAUCUGCGUUAUUUUCUUUUUAACUUCUUAUUAACAUACUAAGCAUUACAAUGUUUUCUGUCAAAAAUAAGCAUUGCAAUGCAACAUGGCCAAGUACAAAGAGACACAUGCACUAUUGCUCUCAUCAACCCAGAAAUCAAGCUCUAAAUAAAGGAUGCAGCAGCGUGUUCA
This 1033-nucleotide long non-coding RNA is filed under the name Calidris pygmaea (Spoon-billed sandpiper). RNAcentral's name for it is "lncRNA (ENSCPGG00000002435.1)". The record is from RNAcentral. Lineage: Eukaryota; Metazoa; Chordata; Aves; Charadriiformes; Scolopacidae.